UUAAGCGACUAAGCGUACACGGUGGAUGCCCUGGCAGUCAGAGGCGAUGAAGGACGUGCUAAUCUGCGAUAAGCGUCGGUAAGGUGAUAUGAACCGUUAUAACCGGCGAUUUCCGAAUGGGGAAACCCAGUGUGUUUCGACACACUAUCAUUAACUGAAUCCAUAGGUUAAUGAGGCGAACCGGGGGAACUGAAACAUCUAAGUACCCCGAGGAAAAGAAAUCAACCGAGAUUCCCCCAGUAGCGGCGAGCGAACGGGGAGGAGCCCAGAGCCUGAAUCAGUGUGUGUGUUAGUGGAAGCGUCUGGAAAGGCGCGCGAUACAGGGUGACAGCCCCGUACACAAAAAUGCACAUAUUGUGAGCUCGAUGAGUAGGGCGGGACACGUGGUAUCCUGUCUGAAUAUGGGGGGACCAUCCUCCAAGGCUAAAUACUCCUGACUGACCGAUAGUGAACCAGUACCGUGAGGGAAAGGCGAAAAGAACCCCGGCGAGGGGAGUGAAAAAGAACCUGAAACCGUGUACGUACAAGCAGUGGGAGCCUCUUUAUGGGGUGACUGCGUACCUUUUGUAUAAUGGGUCAGCGACUUAUAUUCUGUAGCAAGGUUAACCGAAUAGGGGAGCCGAAGGGAAACCGAGUCUUAACUGGGCGUUAAGUUGCAGGGUAUAGACCCGAAACCCGGUGAUCUAGCCAUGGGCAGGUUGAAGGUUGGGUAACACUAACUGGAGGACCGAACCGACUAAUGUUGAAAAAUUAGCGGAUGACUUGUGGCUGGGGGGGAAAGGCCAAUCAAACCGGGAGAUAGCUGGUUCUCCCCGAAAGCUAUUUAGGUAGCGCCUCGUGAAUUCAUCUCCGGGGGUAGAGCACUGUUUCGGCAAGGGGGUCAUCCCGACUUACCAACCCGAUGCAAACUGCGAAUACCGGAGAAUGUUAUCACGGGAGACACACGGCGGGUGCUAACGUCCGUCGUGAAGAGGGAAACAACCCAGACCGCCAGCUAAGGUCCCAAAGUCAUGGUUAAGUGGGAAACGAUGUGGGAAGGCCCAGACAGCCAGGAUGUUGGCUUAGAAGCAGCCAUCAUUUAAAGAAAGCGUAAUAGCUCACUGGUCGAGUCGGCCUGCGCGGAAGAUGUAACGGGGCUAAACCAUGCACCGAAGCUGCGGCAGCGACACUAUGUGUUGUUGGGUAGGGGAGCGUUCUGUAAGCCUGUGAAGGUGGCCUGUGAGGGUUGCUGGAGGUAUCAGAAGUGCGAAUGCUGACAUAAGUAACGAUAAAGCGGGUGAAAAGCCCGCUCGCCGGAAGACCAAGGGUUCCUGUCCAACGUUAAUCGGGGCAGGGUGAGUCGACCCCUAAGGCGAGGCCGAAAGGCGUAGUCGAUGGGAAACAGGUUAAUAUUCCUGUACUUGGUGUUACUGCGAAGGGGGGACGGAGAAGGCUAUGUUGGCCGGGCGACGGUUGUCCCGGUUUAAGCGUGUAGGCUGGUUUUCCAGGCAAAUCCGGAAAACCAAGGCUGAGGCGUGAUGACGAGGCACUACGGUGCUGAAGCGACAAAUGCCCUGCUUCCAGGAAAAGCCUCUAAGCAUCAGGUAACAUCAAAUCGUACCCCAAACCGACACAGGUGGUCAGGUAGAGAAUACCAAGGCGCUUGAGAGAACUCGGGUGAAGGAACUAGGCAAAAUGGUGCCGUAACUUCGGGAGAAGGCACGCUGAUAUGUAGGUGAAGCGACUUGCUCGUGGAGCUGAAAUCAGUCGAAGAUACCAGCUGGCUGCAACUGUUUAUUAAAAACACAGCACUGUGCAAACACGAAAGUGGACGUAUACGGUGUGACGCCUGCCCGGUGCCGGAAGGUUAAUUGAUGGGGUUAGCGGUAACGCGAAGCUCUUGAUCGAAGCCCCGGUAAACGGCGGCCGUAACUAUAACGGUCCUAAGGUAGCGAAAUUCCUUGUCGGGUAAGUUCCGACCUGCACGAAUGGCGUAAUGAUGGCCAGGCUGUCUCCACCCGAGACUCAGUGAAAUUGAACUCGCUGUGAAGAUGCAGUGUACCCGCGGCAAGACGGAAAGACCCCGUGAACCUUUACUAUAGCUUGACACUGAACAUUGAGCCUUGAUGUGUAGGAUAGGUGGGAGGCUUUGAAGUGUGGACGCCAGUCUGCAUGGAGCCGACCUUGAAAUACCACCCUUUAAUGUUUGAUGUUCUAACGUUGGCCCGUAAUCCGGGUUGCGGACAGUGUCUGGUGGGUAGUUUGACUGGGGCGGUCUCCUCCUAAAGAGUAACGGAGGAGCACGAAGGUUGGCUAAUCCUGGUCGGACAUCAGGAGGUUAGUGCAAUGGCAUAAGCCAGCUUGACUGCGAGCGUGACGGCGCGAGCAGGUGCGAAAGCAGGUCAUAGUGAUCCGGUGGUUCUGAAUGGAAGGGCCAUCGCUCAACGGAUAAAAGGUACUCCGGGGAUAACAGGCUGAUACCGCCCAAGAGUUCAUAUCGACGGCGGUGUUUGGCACCUCGAUGUCGGCUCAUCACAUCCUGGGGCUGAAGUAGGUCCCAAGGGUAUGGCUGUUCGCCAUUUAAAGUGGUACGCGAGCUGGGUUUAGAACGUCGUGAGACAGUUCGGUCCCUAUCUGCCGUGGGCGCUGGAGAACUGAGGGGGGCUGCUCCUAGUACGAGAGGACCGGAGUGGACGCAUCACUGGUGUUCGGGUUGUCAUGCCAAUGGCACUGCCCGGUAGCUAAAUGCGGAAGAGAUAAGUGCUGAAAGCAUCUAAGCACGAAACUUGCCCCGAGAUGAGUUCUCCCUGAGACUUAGAGUCUCCUGAAGGAACGUUGAAGACGACGACGUUGAUAGGCCGGGUGUGUAAGCGCAGCGAUGCGUUGAGCUAACCGGUACUAAUGAACCGUGAGGCUUAACCUU
RNAcentral lists this ribosomal RNA (2902 nucleotides) under Escherichia coli KTE59. RNAcentral's name for it is "bacterial LSU rRNA". It matches the Rfam family "Bacterial large subunit ribosomal RNA". RNAcentral also lists the same sequence under 1 other name. The record is from RNAcentral. Lineage: Bacteria; Pseudomonadati; Pseudomonadota; Gammaproteobacteria; Enterobacterales; Enterobacteriaceae.